Pelobates cultripes (western spadefoot toad) is the source of this 968-nucleotide non-coding RNA. NCBI's taxonomy places the organism in Eukaryota, Metazoa, Chordata, Amphibia, Anura, Pelobatidae. The record is from the annotation of a GenBank genome assembly.
UUUUUUUCUUCUAUCCCCUAUAGCAGGGUUUACAAUUUACACUGGAAGUUUCAUGUGCCAUGGCCCCUACAAGCUUGCAGUGGCUAGUAGUUUUUAAGGCCUGACUAGUAGCUUAGGACUUGAAAUUGUAAACCUUGCCCCAGAGAGUACAUUGAAAUAAACUGAAGGUUGUUGAUGAUUAUUUUGUAGUUAUCAGGUUCAGCCUGCAGGUGGUGCAUUCUGCAUAGCAAACAUCAUUCUUCAUUUGCAUCUGCUGCUGUAGAAUCUUUUCCAGCAUGUUCAAUGUGGGGUUACAGGAAAUGGCAAAGAUCUGUUUCUAUUGCUCCAGCCUCCAGCUUCAGGUUUUGGCAAGCCUUGAAGCUGUGAUGAUGGUAAAACCCCCUCUACUGGUAACAACAAGCAAAGUAACAGAAACUAACAUUGCCACCUACAAAGCAAUGAAAUGAGCAUAAUUCACUAUGUUAUCAGAUCUGAUAUCUUACUAAACCUGAUAAUGACAUUACAUUGCCAUUUAACUGAUUAGCAUAAUUGCAUUUCAGCUGGAAACUUUUGCCAUAGGGAGAAAAACAAACAAAAAAAUAGCCAAAAUAUUAUUUGCUCCUUCAAAAGCAGUAAUAAAUGCUUCUAAUCCAAUGGGCUAAGGUCAGGGAAAGUGUGUAGUGGACCUUCAGUAAAGUUUUUUCCAAAUUUCUAUUUCAAAUUGCUAGGAGACAGCUGAUGGAAAUUCAAUAAAUCUACAGAGGAAAAUGAAUUUUAAAAAAUGCAAAAGUAUAACAUGAGAUGAUACAGAAGUACACAUUGUAAUUAAUGUACUCACAAACAUAAAAGUGAGAAAAGACUUGAAUAUUUCAAGUGAUGACUCCCGGGAAUCUUAAAGGACCACUAUAGUGCCAGGAAAACAUACUCAUUUUCCUGGCACUAUAGUGCCCUGAGGGUGCCCCCACCCUCAGGGUCCCACUCCCGCCGGG